GCUUGCUCACUGCUUGGUCAGUUUCAGGGGAGCUUCUAUUUCAGGAGCAUCUUCUCGGAGAGCUUUGAACUUGUUGAGCUCGGCGAUCUCUCGAGUGAAGGAUGGCAAAGCGUAACGGCGUGAAGAAGAGCAUUUGGGAGCUCCUCUGCGGCUGCUCAUCGCCCAAGACGAAGUGAUUGAUUCGGAGUUAAACUCACGAGAGGUGAAGGGAUGUGAUCAGCUAGCCAAAUUCUUUUGUAUAGGUUGCUCAGGAUCUGUCUGAUGGAACACGAUGUAUGUAGUGAGUCCGUGUACUUGGUUGUUUGAUUCGAUUCGUGUCUGGUCUUGUUUGUUGUGAUCGUUUGGCAGAGUUUCAGAGCUGAUUCUCUGCUGAUUUUAUGAAGUAAUUCUCUGAAAUGAACUAA
Setaria italica (foxtail millet) is the source of this 404-nucleotide long non-coding RNA. RefSeq lists it as uncharacterized. Lineage: Eukaryota; Viridiplantae; Streptophyta; Magnoliopsida; Poales; Poaceae. The record is from RefSeq and is a predicted model, not a curated record. The transcript has 2 exons.